ACCCACUACUAGUCUGCAGCUGUUCUUACGGUGGCAGUGGUGACAUUCCUCUGUGGGAAAGAAACUGUCGCAUGGUUAAACACCCUUUUCUUAGCAAAACAGAAAGUGGGCAUAUGUGUGACAAACAAGA
Molecule: small nucleolar RNA, 130 nt
Organism: Phyllostomus hastatus (greater spear-nosed bat)
Lineage: Eukaryota; Metazoa; Chordata; Mammalia; Chiroptera; Phyllostomidae
Product: small nucleolar RNA SNORA41
Exons: 1
Source: RefSeq, a predicted model, not a curated record